GAUGAACGCUAGCUACAGGCUUAACACAUGCAAGUCGAGGGGGCAGCAUUUCGCUAGCAAUAGUGAAGAUGGCGACCGGCGCACGGGUGAGUAACACGUAUCCAACCUGCCGAUAACUCGGGGAUAGCCUUUCGAAAGAAAGAUUAAUAUCCGAUGGUAUAUUAAAACCGCAUGGUUUUACUAUUAAAGAAUUUCGGUUAUCGAUGGGGAUGCGUUCCAUUAGUUUGUUGGCGGGGUAACGGCCCACCAAGACUACGAUGGAUAGGGGUUCUGAGAGGAAGGUCCCCCACAUUGGAACUGAGACACGGUCCAAACUCCUACGGGAGGCAGCAGUAAGGAAUAUUGGUCAAUGGACGAGAGUCUGAACCAGCCAAGUAGCGUGCAGGAUGACGGCCCUAUGGGUUGUAACUGCUUUUAUAAGGAAUAAAGUGAGUCUCGUGAGGCUUUUGCAUGUACCUUAUGAAUAAGGACCGGCUAAUUCCGUG
Molecule: ribosomal RNA, 485 nt
Filed under: uncultured bacterium
Lineage: Bacteria
Description: bacterial SSU rRNA
Rfam family: Bacterial small subunit ribosomal RNA
Source: RNAcentral